GGACUACACGGGUAUCUAAUCCCGUUCGCUCCCCUAGCUUUCGCGCAUCAGCGUCAGUGUCAGCCCAGCAACCCGCCUUCGCCGCAGGUGUUCCUCUCGAUAUCUACGCAUUUCACCGCUACACCGAGAAUUCCAGUUGCCCCUUCUGCACUCUAGCCCCGCAGUAUCGGUUGACCUUUCCGGGUUAAGCCCGGAGAUUUCACAACCGACUUGCGGUGGCCGCCUACGCGCCCUUUACGCCCAGUAAAUCCGAACAACGCUUGCUCCCCCCGUAUUACCGCGGCGGCUGGCAC
RNAcentral lists this ribosomal RNA (293 nucleotides) under uncultured Acidobacteriota bacterium. Its description in RNAcentral is "uncultured Acidobacteria bacterium partial 16S ribosomal RNA". Lineage: Bacteria; Pseudomonadati; Acidobacteriota. The record is from RNAcentral.